GGGAAACAAACAUUACGUUUGAUAGACCAUAAUACAAUAAAAUACAAACAACUUUUCUUUUUAUUGAAUUAAAUAUAAUAUUUGAUUGCAUUACAUAAAUUAUGGUAUACCAAAUAAUCUUUUUCACGUGAAAACGUGAGAUAAUUUAUUUAUAGUUGCACCCAUACAUAAUAAUAAAUGAUUCAAAGGCAAACAUGAUGCAUAUAUGUAUCAGCCACCUCAUUGAGAAUCUGAGCUAGCUCAUUAGUCUUUGAAAGCAUCAACUUUUGAUCUCCACCUUCGAUCUUAUAAACCUUGUCUGGUUUGUAGUUUUCUAUCUGCCAACUGUGAAAGUAUGGUUUAAAUAUUUCGUCUGAGUCGGUAUACACAUAAAUUCUCUUAAUCGAUCCGUAUCCCUCCUUAGUGAAUUUUUCCCGUUUAGCUAAAAUACUUUGAAAUAAUGAUCCCUUCCUUAGCAACAUCGUUGCCAGCUUACAAUCCUCGGGAGUGCAAGCCGUAAAUACAUUCUCACUUAAAAACUUGAAGCCCAUUUUCCAUCCAGUUAUAGUCUCGGCCUUGUUAACGUACGUAAAAGGUACGGUGUCCUUUUUGGGAAUGGCCAUCAUAUGCUUAUCCAAAGCAUAAGAUGGGCUGUGAUCAGUGUCCGGCAUUACUGCAUUGACGAAAACAACAGCUGCAAUCUUUUCUGGGUAUUUAUCAGCAGCAAUAGCAACAUUAAUGCCUCCACAGCUCUCUCCUACCAAUAUCACCUUUUCUCCUUCUGGGAGUGAUGCCAUGAACGUCAAUAAGGGUUCAGAGUACUCAUCAAAGGAUCCAAUCUGCUCAAUUUGCCUUGGGUCAAUACCACUGGCUGCAAGGUCCAAUGCAGUGACCUUGUGGCCAGCUGC
Molecule: unclassified non-coding RNA, 887 nt
Filed under: Hevea brasiliensis (rubber tree)
Lineage: Eukaryota; Viridiplantae; Streptophyta; Magnoliopsida; Malpighiales; Euphorbiaceae
Source: RNAcentral